UUGGUGCCUUCGGGAACUGUGAGACAGGUGCUGCAUGGCUGUCGUCAGCUCGUGUUGUGAAAUGUUGGGUUAAGUCCCGCAACGAGCGCAACCCUUAUCCUUUGUUGCCAGCGGUCCGGCCGGGAACUCAAAGGAGACUGCCAGUGAUAAACUGGAGGAAGGUGGGGAUGACGUCAAGUCAUCAUGGCCCUUACGACCAGGGCUACACACGUGCUACAAUGGCAUAUACAAAGAGAAGCGACCUCGCGAGAGCAAGCGGACCUCAUAAAGUAUGUCGUAGUCCGGAUUGGAGUCUGCAACUCGACUCCAUGAAGUCGGAAUCGCUAGU
Molecule: ribosomal RNA, 328 nt
Filed under: Pseudomonas aeruginosa
Lineage: Bacteria; Pseudomonadati; Pseudomonadota; Gammaproteobacteria; Pseudomonadales; Pseudomonadaceae
Description: bacterial SSU rRNA
Rfam family: Bacterial small subunit ribosomal RNA
Source: RNAcentral